Photobacterium damselae subsp. piscicida DI21 is the source of this 96-nucleotide non-coding RNA. The record is from Rfam. Lineage: Bacteria; Pseudomonadati; Pseudomonadota; Gammaproteobacteria; Vibrionales; Vibrionaceae.
UUCACCGUGAGGUGAAAUCUGAAGGAAGCAAAUGGCAAAAUUUGGCUGUGACGAACAGAAAUCUGAUAGUCGGUCAUUACAACUUGGGUAACCUAN